Molecule: long non-coding RNA, 189 nt
Organism: Xenia sp. Carnegie-2017
Lineage: Eukaryota; Metazoa; Cnidaria; Anthozoa; Malacalcyonacea; Xeniidae
Exons: 2
Source: RefSeq, a predicted model, not a curated record
UCCUGUUUUAAAUGGCAUUGACUUCAGCUGUGAUGAAACAAUACCGUGAAAUUAUGUUGAAAGAAUUGGAAUUGGAAAAAUAUAAAGAAGAAAAAUUUAUGAAGAUCAUCGAAGAAAAAAGAAAAUGCGUUAAAACGUGAUGUGCAAAAUUGUUAUGAAGAGCAUGUGUUGGAAGAAGAUAGUAAAGAA